GUCUAUGGCCAUGCCAUUCUGAAUGUGCCCUAUCUCUUCUGAUCUUGUGAAGCUAAGCAGGGUCAGGCCUGGUUAAUACUUGGAUGGGAGACUACGGCGAAGCUGAGCCAGGACUUGACU
Molecule: non-coding RNA, 120 nt
Organism: Pan troglodytes (chimpanzee)
Lineage: Eukaryota; Metazoa; Chordata; Mammalia; Primates; Hominidae
Source: Rfam